RNAcentral lists this ribosomal RNA (497 nucleotides) under uncultured bacterium. RNAcentral's name for it is "partial 16S ribosomal RNA". It matches the Rfam family "Bacterial small subunit ribosomal RNA", at positions 28 to 507 of the family's 1533-position model. The record is from RNAcentral.
GAUGAACGCUGGCGGCGUGCCUAAUACAUGCAAGUCGAGCGAACAGACGAGGAGCUUGCUCCUCUGACGUUAGCGGCGGACGGGUGAGUAACACGUGGAUAACCUACCUAUAAGACUGGGAUAACUUCGGGAAACCGGAGCUAAUACCGGAUAAUAUAUUGAACCGCAUGGUUCAAUAGUGAAAGACGGUUUUGCUGUCACUUAUGGAUGGAUCCGCCCCGCAUUAGCUAGUUGGUAGGGUAACGGCUUACCAAGGCGACGCUGCGUAGCCGACCUGAGAUGGUGAGCUGCCACACCGGAACGGUGACACGGUCCGGACCCCUACGGUAGGCGACAGGAGGGAAUCGUCUGCUAUGCGCUAGAGCCUAACCGAGCAACGCCGCGUGAGGGAUAAAGGUCCGCGGAUCCUAGUACUCUGUUAUUUGGAAAGAACAAUUGUCCAAGUAACGAUGCUCGUCUUGACGGUACCUUAUCAGUAAGCCACGGCUAACUCCGUG